This is a long non-coding RNA of Juglans microcarpa x Juglans regia, 2436 nucleotides long. RefSeq lists it as uncharacterized. The record is from RefSeq and is a predicted model, not a curated record. Lineage: Eukaryota; Viridiplantae; Streptophyta; Magnoliopsida; Fagales; Juglandaceae. The transcript has 3 exons.
CCCCCCCCCCCCCCACGCUAGUAGGACGCCGCAGUUGUUCCCCAACCACCCCCGCAAGCCGCAAUCCACACGUUCUCUCUCGCUCUUCUGGAGACACGGUAAGCCUCUCUCUUUAAUUGAUAAUCAAUUCAUAUAUUAUGCGUAAUCCUAAUGAAUUCAUAUAUUAUGUGUAAUCCUUUGUAAAUUCUUUUAGUUACUGCUAUUAGUAUAUUAUCAUGAAACUUUCGAGGUGUCUAUGUGUAAUCCUAAUGACUACAAUAUAUACACAAUAAAUUGCUUUUUAUUGUUAGAGGUGUCUAUGCGUAAGUGCAUGUGCUCUAAUUUGCCCUUUUUUUACACCUCUACUAAAUUUUUGUCUCUUUGGUUUGCUUGGUGUAUGCAACUUAUGGUAUGCCUGUGGCAGGUCUACGGGUUACCACAAAUAGGGGGAUUACCUCAAAAAUGGGUCUAGGGGCUUGUUUGUUGAUCUCAAAGCUGAUGUUCUGCUUUUCAAGUUGCUCUCAAAGCUGAUGUUCUGCUUAGUACUUCUGCUCCAAAAAAUAUCAUUUUGUAUGAUAUCAUUCGGUAACUGAGUUGAAAAACUUCCAACUUAAGCACGCAUGCAUGGGAUAUGUAUCCAAUUAGUAAUAUUUGUGCACCUAUAUAUGUUAAGAAACGAUUUGUAUAAAGUAGUUCAUGCUUAAAACCCAUUUGUUAUUUUAAUAUGGCUUAAAAUGGCUUUGUCAUCAAACUAAGCAUUGAAUCAAAUCUGCACAUGGUUUUAAGUAUAGUUUUUGUGUUGGCAAGUGGAGUAUAAAUAAGACUAAACCAACUUCUAUAAUAUAUUUGCUCAAAUAUGUUCAUGUACUUCUUAAUAACGAUGUCAGGCGGGGGUUUUUGGAUGGUUUUUCAAAGUCUCUAGCAUGCAAGGAAUUCUGGGGAUGAAAGACUAGAAGAAAUAUUUUUUGAAAAUUUCUAGAUAACUUUAGAAAAUCUCUGUCAACUAAGGAACUCUAAGACAAAGUCCAGAACAAACUUUUUUUUUUUAAGUUGUGGUUGUGAAGGUUUAGUAUUGUUAACUCCUAAUAGCUUUUGGUGUUAUGACUGGGAAGGAGUUUUUGGAUUUAAAUCUUUCAGUGCAAAUCAUUUCUAGGGUCGUUGAGUCUGUGUCAAACAUUUCUUUUUUUCCUGACUAUUAAGUUUUAAUUUUUUUUCUCAGGUGGGGUUGGUCUUGCGGGUUGCUUGGAUUGGCCCUCCCAUGUUUUGGCCUCUGAUUUUCUUCCCGGCAAAAGUUUGAUGAUGAGUGAGUGACAAAAGAAGAUGGAAAGAGGGCAUUAAAGGAGCAACAUGGGUGAGGAAGAGGAACUUGAUCAGUGUUAUGAUGAUGUUUGGGAAAAUUCGAACGACUAUGCUCAUCACAAGAAGAUAGAGGAAAACGGCAGGGUUUACAUGUUUUUAGCUGGCCUUAAUCGAAGUUUGGACAAAGCUCGCAGCCGCAUUCUCGGCAGGCAACCAUUGCCCUCUCUUCGGGAAGUUUUUUCUGAAGUUAGACGUGAGGAGUCAAGGGGAAAAAUCAUGCUGCGCAAUACAGAAACUGGUUUAAACCUGGAACCUGAGAAUUCUGCUCGUGUCAAGAAGUGUUGAUUCUGAAAAUGACGGGCGUAAUAAACCGUGGUGCGAGCAUUGCAAAAAUCGUGGCAUAGGAAGGAGAUGUGUUGGAAACUUCAUGGUAAACCAGCAAACUGGAAGCCAAAACCAAAUGUGAUGGUUGCACCUACCAAACCACUGCUGAAGAGCUUCAGGAGCUUUCUACCAACUCAGAUGCAGUACCUUUUACCAAGGAGCAAUUAGAGCACCUGUACAAAUUGUUUCAAUCUCCAAAACUGUCCCUAACUCCGUCUUGUUCUUUGGUACAGAAGGGUAACCCUCUUGCUAAUGCAUUUUUAGGUGUUAUUCCUAACUCUGUUUAUUCUUGGAUAAUUGAUUCCAGCGCAACUGAUCAUAUGACCAGUUGCUCCGAAUUGUUCUCAUCCUAUAGUCCGUGUGCAGGCAAUAAAUGGGUCAAAAUUGCAGAUGGUUCGCUCUCGGUAAUUGCUGGGACAGGAACUAUCAAACUCACUUCGUUGUUAACCCUUGAUGAUGUGCUCCAUGUUCCCAAUUUGUCUUGCAAUUUGUUGUCCAUCAGUAAAAUUACCUCUGAUCAUCAGUGUCAAGCUAAUUUCUACUCUUCUUAUUGUGAAUUUCAGGAAUUGACCACAGGGAGGAUGAUUGGCAGUGCUAAGGAAAAAGAUGGACUCUAUUAUUUUGAAGAUGGACCGAACUCGAGUAGACAAUGUCAAAGUACUUGCUUAAAUUCAGUUUCUGUUUCCAAAGAUAAUGAUAUUAUGUUAUGGCAUUAUAGGUUAGGCCAUCCUAGUCUUCAGUAUUUAAAACACUUGUUUCCCAAUUUACUUUGGA